UUUCAACGGAGAGUUUGAUCCUGGCUCAGGACGAACGCUGGCGGCGUGCUUAACACAUGCAAGUCGAGCGGUAAGGCCCCUUCGGGGGUACACGAGCGGCGAACGGGUGAGUAACA
RNAcentral lists this ribosomal RNA (116 nucleotides) under Kribbella albertanoniae. RNAcentral describes it as "partial 16S ribosomal RNA". It matches the Rfam family "Bacterial small subunit ribosomal RNA", at positions 1 to 115 of the family's 1533-position model. Lineage: Bacteria; Bacillati; Actinomycetota; Actinomycetes; Propionibacteriales; Kribbellaceae. The record is from RNAcentral.